GACAGAGGAUGCAAUCGUUGUUCGGAAUCAUUGGGCUUAAAGCGCGCGCAGGAGGCCUUGUAAGUGUCUUGUGAAAUCCCACGACUCACCCGUGGAACUGCACGGCAAACUGCAAGACUUGAGGUCGGUAGAGGUGCCUGGAACUCUAGGUGGAGCGGUGAAAUGCGUAGAUAUCUAGGGGAACGCCGGAGGCGAAAGCGGGGCGCUGGGCCGAUUCUGACGCUGAUGCGCGAAAGCGUGGGGAGCAAACAGG
RNAcentral lists this ribosomal RNA (253 nucleotides) under uncultured bacterium. RNAcentral's name for it is "partial 16S ribosomal RNA". It matches the Rfam family "Bacterial small subunit ribosomal RNA", at positions 524 to 776 of the family's 1533-position model. The record is from RNAcentral.